This 427-nucleotide ribosomal RNA is filed under the name uncultured bacterium. RNAcentral's name for it is "bacterial SSU rRNA". It matches the Rfam family "Bacterial small subunit ribosomal RNA", at positions 355 to 774 of the family's 1533-position model. The record is from RNAcentral.
UGAGGAAUAUUGCGCAAUGGGCGAAAGCCUGACGCAGCGACGCCGCGUGAAGGAUGAAGGCCUUAGGGUUGUAAACUUCUGUUAAGUGGGAAGAAAAACCUGUUUUUAAUAAAAGCAGGCAAUGACGGUACCAUUAGAGAAAGCACCGGCUAAACUCGUGCCAGCAGCCGCGGUAAUACGAGUGGUGCAAGCGUUAUUCGGAUUUAUUGGGCGUAAAGGGUGCGUAGGCGGCGCAUUAAGUCAACUGUCAAAUUUCCCGGCCUAACUGGGAGCUUGCAGUAGAUACUGGUGUGCUAGAGGUUGGAAGAGAGAAGUGGAAUUCUCGGAGUAGCGGUAAAAUGCGUAGAUCUCGAGAGGAACACCGAUGGCGAAGGCAGCUUCUUGGUCCAAAUCUGACGCUGAGGCACGAAAGCGUGGGGAGCAAACA